Molecule: ribosomal RNA, 558 nt
Filed under: Microbacteriaceae bacterium
Lineage: Bacteria; Bacillati; Actinomycetota; Actinomycetes; Micrococcales; Microbacteriaceae
Description: partial 23S ribosomal RNA
Rfam family: Bacterial large subunit ribosomal RNA
Source: RNAcentral
AAGAAGUGAACAAGAGCACAUGGUGGAUGCCUUGGCAUCAGGAGCGAAGAAGGGCGUAGUAAGCUGCGAGAAGCUUCGGGGAGCUGCUAACGAGCGAUGAUCCGGAGAUACCCGAAUGGGGCAACCCAGCCGCCGUCAUGGGCGGUUACCGACCGGUGAAUACCAUAGCCGGUGCGGAGCGCACCCGGUGAACUGAAACAUCUCAGUAGCCGGAGGAGAAGACAUCAACCGAGAUUUCCCUAGUAGUGGCGAGCGAACGGGGAAGAGCCUAAACUUCGUACGUGUAAGUUUUGCGGCGUUGCGUACGGGGGGUUGUGAGAGCGGUGUCCAGGAGCGCAAGAUCCUGGCGGGAGUGAGCAAAGGACGAGGUAGUUGAAGCCGGCUGGAAAGCCGCACCAGAGCAGGUGAGAGUCCUGUAGACGAAAAGUCGUCCUCUUCCGAUCCGUAUCUCGAGUACCACGGGGCACGAGAAACCCUGUGGGAAGCUGGGAGGACCAUCUUCCAAGGCUAAAUAUGUCCUGAUGACCGAUAGUGAACGAGUACCGUGAGGGAAAGGUG